Antechinus flavipes (yellow-footed antechinus) is the source of this 1235-nucleotide long non-coding RNA. RefSeq lists it as uncharacterized. NCBI's taxonomy places the organism in Eukaryota, Metazoa, Chordata, Mammalia, Dasyuromorphia, Dasyuridae. The transcript has 2 exons. The record is from RefSeq and is a predicted model, not a curated record.
AGGAUUAGGGCCGAGAGGGGCCUGAGAUCGCCUAGUCCACUGCCCUCCCCAAGGAAAACUCAGAGGCUCUCCAAGUGGACACCGGACACUCGAGGUCCUCUGUUCCACUGAGACCCGAGGAAACACCGCUAGCCUUGGAAAGGGAGAGCUCGGAGAACAUCACAGAGGGAGAAACUGAGUCUGGGCAAAGGCCGUGACCACUCGCCUUCCACACAAAGACCCCAGGGACCCCCAUUGUCCAGAAGAGCGCAAAGGAACACUUCACAGAAGGGGGGGGGCUGGAGGGGCUUGCCUCCAAGACACAGACCCCAGAACGGCAGAAAGCUGGGAGUCCCCUACACAAACACUCCCUCCCGGGUCUCUCCUUCCCAGGAGCAGUGGGGAAAGUCCGAGAGGGGCUAAAUAAGACAGAGGCGGCCCCGGAACCUCUCCAGAGUCCCAGACCGGGAGAGAAGAGCCCCCUCGUUUCCAGUGCCUGUGGCUGCAUACGGAGGUCUGAGGGGAAGUUUGAAUCCGGGGCUUCCUGCUCCUGCCACAGCUUGAGAUUUCUGAGAGGAAAAGCACCCGUCUGGGCCGUGGAAAGCUUCCUAAAGCACUUCGAGAUUUCCGAAGCAUUUUCUUUCCGAUUUCAAGGGGAGAGACUGGGCCCGGGGCAGGGGAAGGGAGGAAGCCUUUUCCCGCUUCUCCACCCCCAGAAAUGCCCCUUGGAGGGAGCGAUUGCCCACGUGCAGGGUAGACGGGCUUCUCUGAAUGGCGGGGGCCCACACUGUCUUCUAUCUAUACAGUAAUCUGUCCCGGUAUGGACUAGGCCAUCCACGUGUACCUGUGCAUCCCGAAGGGCGUGCCCUCCCCCACCCCCGCCGUCUGACUUCCCGGGGCCGGACCACACCCCUCCAGGGUGAUGUUUCCCCAGUGGACAAUUGAAACUUCUCCCAUUUUCCCAGUCUGAUAGUAACCUGCACUUACAUCAACAUUUUGCCGACGUUGGAUCCUCCGAGGCAGGGGCGGAUAAGGAAACUGAGGCAAAGAGGGGUUAAGUGUCUUACCCAGCAUUACCCAGAAAGGCGAGUAGCUGAGGUUCGGUCUUCCUGACUAUCCCCUGGACCACGACUGCCUGUGUCUAGCACUUUAUUGUCAACAACUCCACCAGCAUCCAUGGAAAAUCCACUGAGAGUGACACCCUCAUCUGCUUCUAUUAAGUUAAAAUUAAGUUUGCCUCUUUAUUUCCCAGGUAA